This 395-nucleotide ribosomal RNA is filed under the name uncultured bacterium. RNAcentral's name for it is "bacterial SSU rRNA". It matches the Rfam family "Bacterial small subunit ribosomal RNA", at positions 505 to 898 of the family's 1533-position model. The record is from RNAcentral.
GUGUCAGCAGCCGCGGUAAUACGGAGGGGGCUAGCGUUAUUCGGAAUUAUUGGGCGUAAAGGGCGUGUAGGCGGCCUAGUAUGUCCCAUGUGAAAGCCCUCGGCUCAACCGGGGAAUUGCAUGGGAAACUGCGAGGCUUGAGUCCGGGAGAGGAGAGUGGAAUUCCCAGUGUAGCGGUGAAAUGCGUAGAUAUUGGGAGGAACACCGGUGGCGAAGGCGGCUCUCUGGACCGGAACUGACGCUGAGACGCGAAAGCUAGGGGAGCAAACGGGAUUAGAUACCCCGGUAGUCCUAGCUGUAAACGAUGAGCACUUGGUGUGGCGGGUAUCGACCCCUGCCGUGCCGAAGCUAACGCAUUAAGUGCUCCGCCUGGGGAGUACGGCCGCAAGGCUGAA